RNAcentral lists this non-coding RNA (30 nucleotides) under Drosophila erecta. RNAcentral also lists the same sequence under 6 other names. The record is from RNAcentral. Lineage: Eukaryota; Metazoa; Arthropoda; Insecta; Diptera; Drosophilidae.
UUGACCUCAAAUCAGGUAGGAGUACCCGCU